Molecule: non-coding RNA, 845 nt
Organism: Hydra vulgaris (swiftwater hydra)
Lineage: Eukaryota; Metazoa; Cnidaria; Hydrozoa; Anthoathecata; Hydridae
Source: RefSeq, a predicted model, not a curated record
UUUUUGUUACAUAUAAAGUGAGGUUACGUCACUACAGUACACUACAGUCCGGGACUUGUGUCAUUUUCAAACCGACUUUAACAUACAGUUCAUGUUCCGAGAUCUGCUCAUCCAAAUAUGGUAAUAAUAUGAUGUCAGUCUCAAAAUGUUUAUAACAACGCGAGCACGAUAACUCGAAAACUCAGACUCCAGAAAUUUUAAAGGCAGUUUUUAAUAAAUGUUCAAUCUUAUUCCUUCAAUUUGCACUAAUUAGAUACUGUAUUUAAAAAAAUGGAAUAUCGGUAAAGAUUGCCUCAUUGGAGCAAUUUUAAUAUUAAUGUAUUAUCAAAAUGGCUGUAUAAAUUUGUGAAUGAGUGUUACACGCACAAGAAAUUAUGCCAAUAAUGACAGUUCUUCGUAACAAGAUCUUGCUCGUAACAUAGUUGAGAUUUUUCAAAAAUUAAUUGCAGUGGAUGAAUCAAAUGUUGAAAAUCAUUCCGUAGUUUGCAGAGCAUUUGUUUACAUAAAAUAUAAAAUAUCUUGUUGUUAUUGUGACAAACCUUAGAAAAUUAUAUCAAUACUUUUAUAUAUUAACAUUUAACAAAGGCUCUGUAUCAUGGUGCUACUUGUUUGUAUACCAUCUUGAGGAAAAUCUCAUCAAUUUGCUGAGAAGAAAAAAGAUAUUAAACGUACAUAAUUUUAAAUUAUUUGAGAUAAUGAAUUUUUCAAUUUUUAAACUAUGCACCUUCUAGUUUAACAGAUAUCUCUCAUGCUGCAAUUUUCUAAUUCAACAAAUUUAAAAUGAUAAUAAUUUUUUUAUUAUUUUUGAAACAUUUAAGGUGGUACAGCACCAAAUACUUUCUGAA